UCAAACUUGGUCAUUUAGAGGAAGUAAAAGUCGUAACAAGGUUUCCGUAGGUGAACCUGCGGAAGGAUCAUUAUCGAGCUACCGGGGUCUCGAGGGACUCCGCUCUAGCCCACCCGUGCCGAACGAACCUGUUGCCUUGGCCGGCCCGCCCUGUAGGGCCAUCGGGGGACUCUUUAGCGGUCUCUGGAUCCGUGUCGGCCAAGGAUGCGGACACUUCCUUGCUGUCGCUAGGGGGGAGAAGCAGCAAAACUCGAUUUAAAGCAUUGGAGUCUAAAAUCUUGAUUGAAAUCAGUUAAAACUUUCAACAAUGGAUCUCUUGGUUCCGACAUCGAUGAAGAACGCAGC
This 345-nucleotide unclassified non-coding RNA is filed under the name uncultured fungus. RNAcentral's name for it is "partial contains small subunit ribosomal RNA, internal transcribed spacer 1, and 5.8S ribosomal RNA". The stretch from base 1 to 73 matches the Rfam family "Eukaryotic small subunit ribosomal RNA", at positions 1759 to 1831 of the family's 1831-position model. The record is from RNAcentral. Lineage: Eukaryota; Fungi.